GGCUGGUAUCCCAGGCCGGCAGCAGGCUGAGCAGGGCCGAUAGCUGGGACUCCAGCUAGCAAGGGGCUGGUGGCCAGAACCCCAGACUGUCAGCGGGCUGAGCCAGGU
Chelonia mydas (Green sea turtle) is the source of this 108-nucleotide long non-coding RNA. RefSeq lists it as uncharacterized. The transcript is spliced from 3 exons. The record is from RefSeq and is a predicted model, not a curated record. Lineage: Eukaryota; Metazoa; Chordata; Testudines; Cheloniidae.